ACGAAAAAUUACACAUUAUUAUCCAUAUUUUACCUCCUUCUUUAGUUGAGAAUCAAAUUCUUAAUCUAAAACCAAAAGAAGGCAUAUGGAUUCAACUGAAAAACAAAAAUACCUGUGGUGGCGAAAGUGUUGGAACCAAUUCAUCAUCUGAAGACACGUCAUCCUCAAUAGAUCCACUCCCGCCGACUUGUGAUUCUGUGAAUAAAAAAAAAACAAAGGAUGAGUGCGGCAACAUCAUGUGAAAUUAAUUAUAAGCAGAAUGCGAAUAAAGAUCACCUAUCAUUGAAGACACAGUAAUGGGAAGUUUUCCACGAGCCACUUUAGUUGAAACAUCCAAGGGUGGAUUUUCUGAGCUUCUUGACGGUUCCACAUCGCAUGCCUAUAUAAAAAGAAAGGGUGUCAGAAUGAAUCAACAAAAUUCGAAUCAUAUGGAUGCUACGUCAUACCUUUGACUUUGUUGAAGGAUCUUGCAAGUGCAUUUUACCCCUGGUAGGCAAACUCGUAAUAAGCACUUCCUGUAUACACAAGAAAAGAAAAAAAGGAGUUCAGUAUGCAAAAUAAAAAAAGAGAGAGAUAGUUGAAAAUGUUAAUGAAUAUACCUCAGAUUUCUUGUCUUCAUGAAUUGGAAAACUGAGACCGAGAACUUCACGUUGAGGGGAGUCAUCUGAAAGAUCAGCCUGAAUAUGAUCAUAUUCUGGAAAUAAGUCAAGUUCUUUUCCUUUUGGUUCUGGAAUAUUCAGAACCCUUUCAUCUCUAACAUUUGACGAGGUUAACGUCUCCUCAAAAUCAGAAUCUUUACCAAUAAUAGCACUUUUCUUCUUCUUCUUACGGGGAUCAUCUGCAUUAAGUAAAUAACCCACUCCAUGCUUGAAGCUUGAAUGCACGCUAUUAGACCACCAACGCGCAUAAUGUAAAGUUGGUUUCCCAAUCCGGUCCUUCUUUGGUAUAAAAUAAUUAGUGGAAGUGCCAUAUCGAAGAAAAUGAUUCCAACACCCAGCAAGUGUCCCAAGAUGACUCGCUAACUUAGGAACAUUGAUACUUUCAGGAAAAGACUGAUCGAAGCCAAAUUGUCGAGCAAAACGGUGAGGAUUAUACGGCUGUGUGUGCAAUUUGUUCCCCAAACGAAGUGGAAGCACGCUCUGUCUGAUAGAAAUUAUAUACUCAUAGACCUCUCUCGGAUACUUACACUCUCCUGGAGCCAAUUUUGCAUCAUAAAGCCAACCAUCGUUAACAAAAGAAUANNNN
This 1245-nucleotide long non-coding RNA is filed under the name Ananas comosus (pineapple). RNAcentral's name for it is "long non-coding RNA (ACOM_LNC039104)". Lineage: Eukaryota; Viridiplantae; Streptophyta; Magnoliopsida; Poales; Bromeliaceae. The record is from RNAcentral.